GAUGAACGCUAGCUACAGGCUUAACACAUGCAAGUCGAGGGGCAUCAGUUUGGUUUGCUUGCAAACCAAAGCUGGCGACCGGCGCACGGGUGAGUAACACGUAUCCAACCUGCCUCAUACUCGGGGAUAGCCUUUCGGAAGAAAGAUUAAUACCCGAUGGUAUAAUUAGACCGCAUGGUCUUGUUAUUAAAGAAUUUCGGUUAUCGAUGGGGAUGCGUUCCAUUAGGCAGUUGGUGAGGUAACGGCUCACCAAACCUUCGAUGGAUAGGGGUUCUGAGAGGAAGGUCCCCCACAUUGGAACUGAGACACGGUCCAAACUCCUACGGGAGGCAGCAGUGAGGAAUAUUGGUCAAUGGGCGCAGGCCUGAACCAGCCAAGUAGCGUGAAGGAUGACUGCCCUAUGGGUUGUAAACUUCUUUAUAUGGGAAUAAAGUUUUCCACGUGUGGAAUUUUGUAUGUACCAUAUGAAUAAGGAUCGGCUAACUCCGUGCCAGCCGCCGCCGU
Molecule: ribosomal RNA, 504 nt
Filed under: uncultured bacterium
Lineage: Bacteria
Description: bacterial SSU rRNA
Rfam family: Bacterial small subunit ribosomal RNA
Source: RNAcentral